GAAAUGCGAUAACUAGUGUGAAUUGCAGAAUUCCGUGAAUCAUCGGGUCUUUGAACGCACAUUGCGCCCCCUGGUAUUCCGGGGGGCAUGCCUGUCCGAGCGUCAUUGCUGCCCAUCAAGCACGGCUUGUGUGUUGGGUCGUCGUCCCCUCUCCGGGGGGGCCGGGCCCCAAAGGCAGCGGCGGCACCGCGUCCGAUCCUCGAGCGUAUGGGGCUUUGUCACCCGCUCUGUAGGCCCGGCCGGCGCUUGCCGAACGCAAAUCAAUCUUUUUCCAGGUUGACCUCGGAUCAGGUAGGGAUACCCGCUGAACUUAAGC
RNAcentral lists this unclassified non-coding RNA (316 nucleotides) under plant metagenome. RNAcentral's name for it is "partial contains 5.8S ribosomal RNA, internal transcribed spacer 2, and large subunit ribosomal RNA". The stretch from base 1 to 105 matches the Rfam family "5.8S ribosomal RNA", at positions 50 to 154 of the family's 154-position model. The record is from RNAcentral.